UCUGUGCAGUGAUGUUACACGAAUAAAAAUACACGUCAGACUUCGAGAUUUUUUUCAUCGAAAAAUCAAUGAGAUAAAAUAUUCAUACAGCUGAGCAGAAA
Molecule: non-coding RNA, 101 nt
Organism: Morus notabilis
Lineage: Eukaryota; Viridiplantae; Streptophyta; Magnoliopsida; Rosales; Moraceae
Source: Rfam